Molecule: ribosomal RNA, 388 nt
Filed under: Loxopholis ferreirai
Lineage: Eukaryota; Metazoa; Chordata; Lepidosauria; Squamata; Gymnophthalmidae
Description: partial 12S ribosomal RNA
Rfam family: Bacterial small subunit ribosomal RNA (bases 41-388)
Source: RNAcentral
ACGAAGUAAACUAUGACACCCAUGUUCGCCAGAAAAUUACGAGCAAUUUACACCCAGCCUAAAACUCAAAAGACUUGACGGUGUCCCAACCUACCUAGAGGAGCCUGUUCCAUAAUCGAUACUCCACGAUCAACCCUACCACCCCUAGAACCAAAACUCAGCCUAUAUACCGCCGUCACCAGCUUACCUUUAAAAGCCACAAAGUGAGCACAAUAGUAUAUUACUAAUACGACAGGUCAAGGUGUAGCCUAUGGGGUGGCGUCAAUGGGCUACAUUAUCUGCCACAGAUUAUUCACGAACUAUUUUCUGAUAUAAAAAUACAAAGGCGGAUUUAGCAGUAAAUUAAUGAAGAAUACUUAAUUUAACACAUGCUCUGGGACAUGUACAC